UUAGCUAGUUGGUGGGGUAAGGGCCUACCAAGGCGACGAUCAGUAGCUGGUCUGAGAGGAUGAUCAGCCACACUGGGACUGAGACACGGCCCAGACUCCUACGGGAGGCAGCAGUGGGGAAUUUUCCGCAAUGGGCGAAAGCCUGACGGAGCAACGCCGCGUGAGGGAUGAAGGCCUUUGGGNUGUAAACCUCUUUUCUCAAGGAAGAAGAUCUGACGGUACUUGAGGAAUAAGCCUCGGCUAAUUCCGUGCCAGCAGCCGCGGUAAUACGGGAGUGGCAAGCGUUAUCCGGAAUUAUUGGGCUAAAAGCGUCCGA
RNAcentral lists this ribosomal RNA (316 nucleotides) under uncultured cyanobacterium. RNAcentral's name for it is "bacterial SSU rRNA". It matches the Rfam family "Bacterial small subunit ribosomal RNA", at positions 241 to 572 of the family's 1533-position model. The record is from RNAcentral. Lineage: Bacteria; Bacillati; Cyanobacteriota.